UCUGAAGUGGCAGAAGACGGGCAAUUUCUAAAGAACACUCUGGACACGCCUACCAGUCCCAUUUUCCAGGAUCGAACCUUCAACCUUGGCAUAUUGGGACGACACUCCAACCAACUAAACUACCUGGCCAGGGCUAGACUGUAUCCUUCAAUCAAAGCAAUCAACAGAGUCAUACGGAUUGUACAAGUGGGGACACUAACUUCUGGG
Miniopterus natalensis is the source of this 207-nucleotide non-coding RNA. Lineage: Eukaryota; Metazoa; Chordata; Mammalia; Chiroptera; Miniopteridae. The record is from RefSeq and is a predicted model, not a curated record.